RNAcentral lists this ribosomal RNA (253 nucleotides) under uncultured bacterium. RNAcentral's name for it is "partial 16S ribosomal RNA". It matches the Rfam family "Bacterial small subunit ribosomal RNA", at positions 524 to 776 of the family's 1533-position model. The record is from RNAcentral.
UACGAAGGGGGCUAGCGUUGCUCGGAUUGACUGGGCGUAAAGGGCGCGUAGGCGGUUCGUACAGUCAGACGUGAAAUUCCUGGGCUCAACCUGGGGGCUGCGUUUGAUACGUGCGGACUUGAGUGCGGAAGAGGGUCGUGGAAUUCCCAGUGUAGAGGUGAAAUUCGUAGAUAUUGGGAAGAACACCAAUGGCGAAAGCAGCUUUCUGGGACGGUACUGACGCUGAGACGCGAAAGCGUGGGGAGCGAACAGG